CUUGUGGGGAUUUGCAGGACAUAUUUUAAACAUCAAGCAGAGGAAGAAUAUUUUGAGUUUUCCGUCUGCAUCCUGGGAGAACAAUCCACGCAGUAAAAUGCGACCCCGACGUGACACCACGGAGGAGCUUCUUAACUACCUCGCCAACUUCAGUCCCAGAAAUUGGAGAGCCCACUGCAGAGUCCCUAGGCACUGAUUCCUCAAUCGAAGAUGUGUAGGUUAAAUUGAGGAGGUCUUCGAAGUAUUUCUUCCACCGAUCCACAACAUCCCCAGUCAACGUCAGCAGCACACCUUCCCCACUACACACGGUGUUGACAGUGGACUGCGUCCCCCUCCUGAGGCAGCGGAUGGUGGUCCAAAAUCGCUUCAAAGCUGUCCGGAAGUCGUUCUCCGUGGCUUCUCCAAACUCCUCCUAUGUCCGAGUUUUUGCCUCUGCAACCGUCCAAGCCGUACACCGCUUGGCCUGUUGGUAACUGUCCGCUGCCUUCAGAGUCCCAUGAGCCAAAAGGACCCGAUAGGACUCCUUCUUCAGCUUGACGGCAUCCAGCGGGACAUUAUACGUAUAUGUCGUGGCUUACUGUGGUGGAUCCCAAAAAACCCAGAGGACAAGAGCGUGUGGUCUUCAUUAUCCAGUCUAUGACCAGGAGCAACAGAAAGGUUGAUACAAGGAAUCGCUGAUACACACCAGUCUUGACUUCAAAACUCUCCGACAGCUGGCCAGCAUGUAAAACUGCUUUCUUGGUUGUUUUUUUUUAAAUCAGGGUGAUGAUCUUCUCUCAGCAGUUUCCACAGAUUCGCUCUAUCCACAGAGCCAAAGGCUUUUUCAUAAUCAAUGAAGUUCCUAAGUAAAGGAGGGUUCUAUUGUUCUACAUUGAUGUGCAGGGUGGCAACCUGGGCCGUACAAGAUACCUUACUUUCAAUCAAUGAAUCAAUCAAAGUUUACUUAUAUAGCCCUAAAUCCCGAGUGUCUCAAAGGGCUGCACAAGCCACAAAGACAUCCUCGGCUCAGAUCCCACAUCAGGGCAAGAAAAAAAAAACUCAACCCGAUGGGAUGACAAUGAGAAACCUUGGAGAGGACCGCAGAUGUGUGCAAUGGACGUCGAGGGGAUCUAGCAUAAUAUUGUGAGAGUCCAGUCCAUAGUGGAUCUAACAUAAUACUGUGAGUCCAGUCCAUAGUGGGGCCAGCAGGAGAGUAAAGCUGCCUGCUGGUCUCAAAGUAUGGGAUCAACUGAUUCACUUUUCCUGUUCUGUAUGGUUCUGUUGAGAACUUUUCCUGGUAUUGAUAUAAACAGGAUUCCUCUGUAGUUGUUGCAGUUAGUGAAAUAUUUUAUUGUAUCAGAAUAGUUCAUGUUCUAGCUAUUGUCGAGUAUGCACCUUUAAAUGAUGGUGUCUGUUGUCCAGUUAGUGCUUUGAUCAGUUCAGGGGCUCAGGGGCAGCAUUGAGGAAAAUGUAUUCCCGUGUGGGCCGGACGAGUAAAAUCGUGGCAUAAUAACUUAAAAAUAUAACUGCGACAGCUUCCGAUUGUUUUCUUUGUUUUACUUCAGCCCAAUAUAGAA
Molecule: long non-coding RNA, 1556 nt
Organism: Entelurus aequoreus (snake pipefish)
Lineage: Eukaryota; Metazoa; Chordata; Actinopteri; Syngnathiformes; Syngnathidae
Exons: 3
Source: RefSeq, a predicted model, not a curated record